UACAGAGGUCUCAAGCGUUGUUCGGAUUCAUUGGGCGUAAAGCGCACGUAGGCGGCCUAGCAAGUCGGGUGUGAAAUCCCUCGGCUUAACCGAGGAAGUGCAUUCGAUACUACUGGGCUUAAAUACUCAAGAGGGUCUCGGAAUUCCCGGUGUAGAGGUGAAAUUCGUAGAUAUCGGGAGGAACACCAGUGGCGAAGGCGGAGACCUGGGGAGAUAUUGACGCUGAGGUGCGAAAGCGUGGGGAGCAAACAGG
RNAcentral lists this ribosomal RNA (253 nucleotides) under uncultured bacterium. Its description in RNAcentral is "partial 16S ribosomal RNA". It matches the Rfam family "Bacterial small subunit ribosomal RNA", at positions 524 to 776 of the family's 1533-position model. The record is from RNAcentral.